GAAAAACUUAUCUAUUAACGUGGUAGCCACAUCUUUCUCUUCUUGGGAAGGAUUUCCAUACUUCUUUCAUUUCUUUUUCCUCCACUAUGAAGCAUCCUCUCCUGAUGAUAAUGGCUCGCUCCUUCAGCCAUGAACCACACAUGUAAUACCUACAAAUGCGCCAGACAAUCUUCAAAUGGAACUACUAAACCUCGCUCGAGGUAUGCACGGUGUUCAUGCGGGUUAGAAUCAUUGUUCGAGGUCAUCGAAAAGAUAGUUUAGACGAACCUGAUCUCACUUCUUGCUCAUACUACUACUACAAAGGAAAAAUCUUUGGCACUAUUACUAGGUCUUAUUCUUAACUUUUCUCUCUUAAUUUUUUUUAAAUUAAAUUCCUAUUUCUUUUGAUCCUACUUGUAAUCUUUUAGUGUCUAUUAGUAUAGAGUUUGGUCUAAGUAAGAAGUUAAUAUGAGUUCACACAUUUUGUGAAAAUUGUUGGAUAUCAAAUGUUUAUUUGGGAGGUUUUUCAUACAUUGAAUAUAUAGACACAUAUAUAGAGAGAGAGACAGACACACACUAGUUUAGGUGUACGUGCCUUGCGUGUGUACCUCACUUUAAUGAGUUCAAACAUUAUAUUAAAUAGGUUAUUUGUUUAAAUAAUAAAGAUGAAUAUAAUAAUUAAAUUUAAUAUCUUUUUAGUACUUAAAGAUGAAGAAUUUAUUUAUUAAACCUAAUCAUUACCAAAAAUAUUUUUACUUGUCGAUCGACUUUCAUCUACCUUCUCUAUAAACUGCAACAAAAUAAUACAACGAUAGGGACAUCCAAAUAAUAUAAUUAAAUCUAAUUUUGACACAUAAAAAUUUUCUCAAAGUCGUCUGACACUCAUCUACCACCUGUAAACAAUAACAAAAUAAUACAUUAAUAGAGAUAUCAAAAUAAUACGACUAAACCUAACCUUUAUAUAAAAAAAUUCCUCAAAGCCAACCAACAUUUAUCUAUCACCUGUAAACUGCAACAAAAUAAUACGAUAAAAGUGAUAUCAAAAUAAUAUUAUUAGCAAAAAAUAAAAAGAUUUCAAAAUAAUAUAAUUAAACCCAAAUUUUACACACAAAAAUUUCUCAAAGCCAAUCAAAAAUCAUCUACGAACUGUAAACUAACACAAAAUAACAAACUAAUAGAGAUAUUACGAUAGUACAAUUAAAUCUAACCUUCACCUAAAAAAAAAUUUUAAAGUCGACUCACAUUCAUCUAGCAUCUGUAAAUUAAGAUAAAACAAUAAGAUAAUAAAGAUAUCAAAACAAUAUAAUUAAACCUAACCUUUACACAAGAAAUUCUUCAAAGCCAACUUACAUUCAUUCAUCUAUGACCUAUACAAUAUAUAUAUAUAUAUAUAUAAUAGUGAUCACAAAACUUCGAUUUUGAUCCAACUAACUCUUGUCUGAGCGAAAAUUUUGACCCUAAAGAAUGAUUUUGAAUGAAAACAAAGAAGAUAUAUGUAUACACACAUGUUGAAUUCCAUUCUGCUGACAAAAACAGUGAAGAAGAAGAUGGUUAGAAAAUCAAGCAUUCAUCAUCUAGACAUGCAAUCGAAUCAAGUUAGAUAAGCAUCAAUCAUAUUCUCCCAAUAGGUAAAUCGGUUUGUUCUCUAGUUUAAGGUACAUCUCAAUAUUUAUUGAAGUAUUUCCUUAAUAGAGUCCUAUUUUAGGAGUAUUUUUCUAAUUGAAAAAUAGAAAGAAAAAUAUUAAUUAAUUUUUCUACCUUAUAUUUUAAGAGUCUCAUAUAUUUUAGGAAGCCUAUUAGAAAAGAAAAUAUUAAUUAAUCCUCCUACCAUAUAUAGGACUCUCAUAUAUCUUAGAAAGUCUAGUUAAUAUAAUAAAAAAUAAUUAAAUAAUAAAUUAAAAAAUAUUGAAAAAACAGUUUUGUCUAAAGAAGAGUCUUUUAAUGAAGGAUAACAAAUUCAAAUCACUUUUCAAAUAUUUUUUACACUUUUAUCCUUAUAUAAUCAUAAAUGGCAACAUUUCCUUUAAGAAAAUAAGAGCAUAUUGAUAAUUAUCAUUUCAUGUUUAUCUUAAAUCAUUCAAUGAUGAGAAGAUUCAAUUUCUUGAAAACAACCCGCUAAUUUCUUUCAAUCACAUGUUUGGUUGUUCUAUUUCAUUUGUUUAAGUAAUGUCAUGUCUAUUAAUUAAUACUCGGCAUAUUUUUCCUUUAAGAUAUUUGUUUAUAGGUUUAAUUUGCCGACAAUGGAAAAUCAAGCAUUGAAAAUACUCAGGAGGCAUAGAUAUUUACGGAUCAGUUAAUUGAAUUGUAAGUUUGAGUGUGCGAAUUAAAUUCCAAGUUAGUUGUAUAUUAGUCAAAAAGAAUUUGAAAACUCUUUUUUAAGAAUCUUUUCCCUUAUGUGCUUCCUUCUGUAAAGUUAAUUAAAUACUAAAAAUAGACAUACUCUCACCCACAAAAUAUUUUCUACACAUACACUACAAUGAAAUGACAUCGUUUGAAGUUCAAUAAUAAAAAUGAAGGAGUCAACAUGCGAAGCAGAGCUAACUAGGUGGAAUUAUCGCCCCAAUGGGGGCCAGAUAUGUUUGAAAAAUGAUGACAACAAUACAAGCAAUAGCCUAUUUCUACAUGAAGCAUAUAUAGCUUAUUAAAUAUAAAACACCUCGUUACUCGCUUCUUUUUUUAAUUUUAUGUCACUUUGUUAAAAGUAUCAAAGCCUUGUCAAGUUUUACUACUUAGUAAACUAUCCACUUACUUCGAUACAAUCUUUAUAUUAUACAUAUAUAUUUUUCUUUACAUGACUUUUAGAUGCUAAAAAUAUUUUAUUUAGUACUCUUAAAUAAGUUUGUUUUAAGAAUUUCUUUAGUUUUGUCUUAAGGCAUUUAAGAGAGUCGAUAUAGAAAUUGAAAUAAAGGGAGUAAUAUCGCAUUGAGCCUGUUUCAGUGUUGUUAUACCUCAUCCCACCCUCUUUUUUUUAAUUUUAACUUUAUGUGUUGUUAAUUUAUUUAUUUUUACGUUAAAUUAACCACCAAUUUAAGGUGGCACAUCUUACUAACGUAUCUCACAUUAUUUGUAGUCUAUUAUUAUUUCGAUUUAAACUUGAAUAUUUUCUUUAUCAGAUAUACUACAAAACAAAGGAGUUCACCAGAAUCUGUGAUCCAAGGAAGAUGAAGAAUACAUGAAUUAUGAUACUUUUCACUUAUUAUUUGCAUGUCGCAAAAGGACAGUU
This 3202-nucleotide long non-coding RNA is filed under the name Capsicum annuum. Its description in RNAcentral is "long non-coding RNA (CANN_LNC006721)". The record is from RNAcentral. Lineage: Eukaryota; Viridiplantae; Streptophyta; Magnoliopsida; Solanales; Solanaceae.